CAUCUAGGACUCUUAAGACCUAACUGAAAAAAAUAAAAUAAAAGCCAGGGAGUACAGUUUUAAGUAAACAAGAACUCAUCCUGGCAUCCAGAUUUUGUAGAAUUACAAGUCAGCCUGUUGCCAAUUCCUUCAGACAUCUACUGAUGGUGCUGGUUCUGGGAGUUUACAUAACAGGAGCUAAAUCAGCUGGCUCAGAUGCUAUACGGUGCCUCUGUUCUCAGUUUUCCUUGCUAGUUAAAAACCUGGGCAAACAUAAUAACAUUAAACAAAUGAUGUAAAAAGUAUUGUUUCUACAAUUUUUCCACACUUAAUAUAUUAUUUUUACAUUAUUUCUUCAUCAAAAAUACUUUAUUACAAUUUUAGGAAAUUAAUCUGUUCACCUCCUUUCUUUUGCACAUGGAGAAAUGUUCUGGGGAUAAUUAAAACUCUGUGCCAGAAACCUGAAUUAUUUAGAGGGAAAUCUUGACUGAAGUUGUGCUUUUCUUUGUGUGCAUGCUAAAAUUUUUCACACUGGAAAUUAUUCUAGGGUCAGUCUUUAUGUGAUGUGUAGUCUGUAAUGAAGUCCUUCUGUUUGUUUGAUGUUACCAGAGGGUAAUGUAGGAAACGACACCUUUUCACGUUGCAGUAUACAAAAGGACCCAACAUUUUAGGCCUUUCCACACUUAUUGCCAUGCCAUAAGAUCAGGUGUUUUCUGAGCAGCAUGUAGAUGAAAACAAUAAAUAUUUAACUGUGCUGAAUAGGAUCUUUCUUUAGGCUACAUAGUGAAACAUUUUCCUUUAGUGCCAGUCAAGCAAGAAAACAAUAGCCACUCUGUUUAAAAAUAAGAUGAGGUUACAGCAUUUUAUCUCAGAGCACGGUAUAGCCAAGUGAUAAAGUAAUCUGUUCUUACGUGUUUAUGGCCAUUUCAGUCUGUGUUUGGAUUGUGGUUUGCUGGAAAUCUUCUUUGAAAGCUUCUGAAGACAGGAGAAUUAGCAACUUCUGUUUCAGGCAUUCUGAAGAGAGUAGUCCUUAACCCCAGCCUUAAAAAGUUGUAGCUAAUGCCAAAUCUCCAGGAGACAACUUGCAGCAGUUCUGAAACUGUCCUUGCCCAAGGAGGCCUUCCAGCCCAGGCCUUGGCUAGAGCAGGUGUUUGAUGAAGGGUUUGUUUGGUGCUGAUGAGCCAGCGUGGUGUCUCCAUGUUGGUGGGCCAGCUUGAUGUCUCGGUGUUGGUGAGCGAGCUCAGUGUUUUGGCACUGGUAUGAUACCUUGAUAUUUUGUUUUGGUAGGAUGGCUCAGUGUCUCAGUAGGCUGGAGCUCCUUUGUUCUUCAAACAGGCUCAAUCAAGCCAACUUUGAUCUGUGUUGGUGCAGAUCUGUGCUGAACAAUAUGCUUCACCUCUAGCAGGGCUCAUUAUUUGAGGGCAAGUUUGAUAUCUUUAAGGGUACUUUCUUCUGUACUGAAGCUGAAUAAAUUGGGAUGGGCUGAAGAGAAGGCAGAAUGGUCUGGAAUUAAGCCAAAUGCAUUACCUUGUUACUAUUAUUAUGCUUGCUAGUCUCAUUAGCAUUGACUUAAAAAUUAUCAAGUAGGACUGAGUAUAGCAAAUUUAAGGAUGGUUUUCAAAUAUUAAUUCCUAAUUCUUCUCCACUGUGCACUUUUUAGGGUUUUAUUAUGACAAGAAAAGUUAAUGUUUUGUUGGUUUACGGUUGUGUUUUUGUUCUUUGGGAAGAAGAGAUACUGGAGGAUUUCUGCCUAAAGGAGCUCACUUCUCCUCUUCUCUGCAAUUUGUGGAAAGUAGGACAUCCUGGGAGUUAAAAUCAUGUGGUUCUAAUUAUGGACAUUUGGAAAUGGACAGAGGUUAAGUGAAGAGCAGUAGAAGGUGAUAGAACAACAGAAAGACUACUUUGGAAUUGAGCUGAAGAGACUGUAGCUUGUCUAGACUCACCUUUAUUCAUGUAUGAUGUUGAACUCAAAAUAAUGCCGAUACAUUUUAAUUACAUGAUACUUAAUAUGAAACAUCAUGGUAAAAAGCAUUCCGUAAAAAGGGUAGAAGGGGAACUUAUUCCUCUGCCACUGCCUUCUUGUUUUAUCUUUCCUCAGGAAAUAGUGAAUAUCUUAGCAAGUAAGUAGUGUGUGUACAUAGCAGAUCUUCUAAAAUGAAGAUAACAUUAGUCAGCACAAAGUAGUAGUCCUCACCAUUUAUCAAUUUUUCUGUAGACUUCUUGAAAUUUACUGUUUGAAUGGGUUUAAUUCUGAGUGUGUAGAUAUGAUUGCAUUUAUUACCUUUAACAUCACUGUUGCUGUGCUAUAAUAGAGAGAAGCCAAGAUGUGACUGAGGCAGAGUCUGAACUCUUUCUUCAAAAGAAAGUCCCCAUAUGCAAGUUUAAAAGUAAUUGAAAAGUAAAAUAAGAUGAACUGGGGAUACCUCAACUUAUGCUACCUUUCUUUUUUUUUUUUUUGACAAGGUGUUUUACCCUUUUUAUCAAGUACUUUUCAUCACAUUCAUGAUAAAAAUCAAUUAGAAGGUGAACUUUUUCCUAGCACUUCAAAUUAAAGACCAGUUAAGUAAGAACAAAUUUAAUACUGGGAACAUCAUGCGUGAUUCACCACUUUUAUUCACGUUGAUGAAUGGCAAAAACCACUGGCAGAUGUGAACUGGAUGAAUUUAUAUGUGUAUGGAAACUUGCUACUAAAUUUGAGGUAAUUCCACAGGUGCAUAUUCCACAGAGACUGAAGGAUUCUACUAAUGUAACGGCAAGGAUAACAUGAAUAUAAACAGGAAUUUGUAGGAAUAGGCAAUGGGUUUCCAACAUCUUUAUUAUAGAUACGAUAAAAAACGUGGAAAGAACAUGCUCGAUUUUUAAAUUUUUAAUUUGAAAAAUCACUAUUAAUAGCCUACAAUAAACAGGAUGUGGGUUUUUCAUUUGUUUUUAUCGCUUGUUAAGUUAGAAAGGUAAAGCCCUUGAACAGUUAUAGCGGGAAUCUUCAAGGCUACGUUUUGUUAACUUUGAACAAAGUCAUCCCAAGAGGACGUGUUUUUCAAGUCAAGACUGCAAAAACAAGCCCAUUAUAGUUAUUCUUGUUAAAAAAUAAACAAGGACUGUAUCCCAUUUGAAGGGAGGCAAUACUUCAUUUGUUUUAAAAUCA
Long non-coding RNA from Numida meleagris (helmeted guineafowl), 3124 nucleotides. RefSeq lists it as uncharacterized. The transcript has 2 exons. The record is from RefSeq and is a predicted model, not a curated record. Lineage: Eukaryota; Metazoa; Chordata; Aves; Galliformes; Numididae.